UAUUAUUAUUUGCCUUUUGUACCUUUUAUUGUUCUUGUUUUGUUGUUUUGAUUAUUGUUGUUGUUUUGUAACUCAGGGCAUUGCUGUAAAAGAGCCUGAUC
Alosa sapidissima (American shad) is the source of this 101-nucleotide long non-coding RNA. RefSeq lists it as uncharacterized. Lineage: Eukaryota; Metazoa; Chordata; Actinopteri; Clupeiformes; Clupeidae. The transcript is spliced from 3 exons. The record is from RefSeq and is a predicted model, not a curated record.